UCAACUGAUUCUAGUCAUCCUUA
This 23-nucleotide microRNA is filed under the name Schmidtea mediterranea. Its description in RNAcentral is "sme-miR-7a-3p". Its record names the gene sme-miR-7a-3p. The record is from miRBase by way of RNAcentral. Lineage: Eukaryota; Metazoa; Platyhelminthes; Tricladida; Dugesiidae.